RNAcentral lists this long non-coding RNA (498 nucleotides) under Drosophila melanogaster (fruit fly). RNAcentral describes it as "long non-coding RNA:CR43423 (Dmel_CR43423)". Lineage: Eukaryota; Metazoa; Arthropoda; Insecta; Diptera; Drosophilidae. The record is from RNAcentral.
AUGGCACUGGCACUUACCGGGUGGAAAAGAGUCGGCCUCAGGCGGAAAUUGAGUUCUGUUCCUCUUCUAUCCGCUGAAAGAAAAUUGAAAAAAAAAAAAAAACAAAGGGAAAACCAAGCAAGAUUUCCCAAUCGAAAGCUUCUUGGACUUUCGACCGACUGUUUGUACUAUUUACAACACCAACGGAGCAACGUCAAGACCAUAAAAAUAAUUAAUACAACUUAUCAGCAGGGCCGCGAUAUACCACCACUUGAGGAGCACACCUAUGACGUGGAGGGACUGGCAGAGGCACUGCCGGCUGCAUGGUCAGCGAUCGUACGGUAGAUGCGAUCCGAUUCGAUGGCAAAAGAAUUCCCCCUUUCGGUGUAAUUGCUUUUGGCCUGGUCGAAAGUCGGCCCGAACGGAACCGAACCGAACCGAAGCACACCACACCGAACCUAAUGAUAAUACCCGCGAUCUAAUAGGAAGCACGUGAUGCGCAUACUGCCCACCGAUCAU